Molecule: ribosomal RNA, 575 nt
Filed under: Trichoderma hamatum
Lineage: Eukaryota; Fungi; Ascomycota; Sordariomycetes; Hypocreales; Hypocreaceae
Description: eukaryotic LSU rRNA
Rfam family: 5.8S ribosomal RNA (bases 183-336)
Source: RNAcentral
GAGUUUACAACUCCCAAACCCAAUGUGAACGUUACCAAACUGUUGCCUCGGCGGGGUCACGCCCCGGGUGCGUCGCAGCCCCGGAACCAGGCGCCCGCCGGAGGAACCAACCAAACUCUUUCUGUAGUCCCCUCGCGGACGUAUUUCUUUACAGCUCUGAGCAAAAAUUCAAAAUGAAUCAAAACUUUCAACAACGGAUCUCUUGGUUCUGGCAUCGAUGAAGAACGCAGCGAAAUGCGAUAAGUAAUGUGAAUUGCAGAAUUCAGUGAAUCAUCGAAUCUUUGAACGCACAUUGCGCCCGCCAGUAUUCUGGCGGGCAUGCCUGUCCGAGCGUCAUUUCAACCCUCGAACCCCUCCGGGGGAUCGGCGUUGGGGAUCGGGACCCCUCACACGGGUGCCGGCCCCUAAAUACAGUGGCGGUCUCGCCGCAGCCUCUCCUGCGCAGUAGUUUGCACAACUCGCACCGGGAGCGCGGCGCGUCCACGUCCGUAAAACACCCAACUUUCUGAAAUGUUGACCUCGGAUCAGGUAGGCAUGCCCAGCUGAACUUAAGCAUAUCAAAAGGCGGGAGGAAA